UAUUUUUUUUUCUCUUUCUCUCUUUCUGAAGCAGUAACGGCGUCUCCUUCCUUCUUCUUCUCUUCUUCUUGUCUCUCAUUCUAGGUUAACUCUUUCCCCCUCAUUCUUCUUCUCCCUCUCUUCUAUUCUCUGUUGCUAAAUUGGUUCAGGAGUGAUUACAAAUUUCCAGAUCUGGAACACUCUUUCUUCUUCCUUUAAUCAACAAGGUAAGUUGAUAUAUUAAAACUUUCUCCAUUGAAAUAGAUUUUUAUUGUUCUUUAUAUAUGUAAAUUGAGAAUUCAAAAUUGCUUCUUCAAAUAGAUGGGGUUUUUAUUUUUGGGAUUUUGUGAGCAAGAAAACUUGUUAUUAAUUUCAAUAAAAAUACGAUUUUGAUAUUUUUCCAUGGAUGUUGAAAGCUAAAAUAAAGCUUGGUAUGACUGAUUUUAAUAUUUUUGGUGGGUUGUUGUUAUUUUGCACAAAUUGUUCAAUAUAUCCGUCAUCCUUGUGUCCAGUUGUUGUAGUUACUUAUUUGUUUACAAUACAAAUUGUAGGAACAAGCUAUGAAGGCUUUGGCGUAUUUUCUCGGCACCAAAAAGGAUAGGGCGUAUUUUCUCGGCAACUGAAUCUGCAAGUAUCAAACUCUAUUCGCCAUAGUUUGCAGGUAACAAUGUUUCUAUGGUACUAAAUUUUAUUACAAUGUCAGGUUUGUCGCAUGUACACCCAAGACCCUACACAAACUGUCGACUGGCAGACUGACGAGCUUGCGCACCUUAGUGCACAGUACCCACAACCAGCUUGUGUACCCAAUAGAUUGCAAUUCCUCCAACUACACGGCAUUUUAUACAAGUUUAUAGUUGAUCAAUGAACUUUUGUUUGUUCUAUGUUGUGUGUUCAACAUAGAAACAGAUUGUAGUACACUUAAAAUGACUUUCCUGUUAUUAUAUUUCUGAGAGUCAAAUGACAGGUUAUUGAGACUUGAAACCUCUGGUCAUGUUAAUAACCUGUUAAAACCUUAGUUAGAAACACAGACAUUGAAUGUUAUGUAAGAUGAGGAAGACAUAUACUGCGGCAGAAAAAGCAUAUUUGAAAAGGCUGUAGUUUCUUCAAUGUUUUUUCUAGUAUCAAUGAAUCUCUCUGGAUAGAACUCUUCCGCAUUACUAGACCAUACAUUAGGGUCUCUUCCAAUUGCCCAAGCAUUUAUAAUCACUCUAGAUUUCUUUGGAAUAAAAUAUCCAUUGAUUGUUACAUCUUCUGUGGACUCAUGAGGAAUGAGCAAUGGUGCAACUGGAUGAAUCCUCAUGGUUUCCAUGAUCACCAUUUUCAAGUAGCUCAACUUAGUCAAAUCUGUUUCGUCAACCAUCCUGUCCAAUCCAACUAUGUUUUCUAGUUCUUCUUGAACUAGUUUCAUUACAUGAGGAUGUUUUAGAAGUUCUGCAAUGACCCAUUCUAUUGCUGUACUUGAAGUGUCCAUUGCUGCUGCAAGCAUGUCUAUCAUGAUUGCCUUAAUAUUGUCUCGAUCUAGGUACAAUUCUCGUGUGUUUCUUGAUCAUAUGUUUUUAAUGAAAACUCAGUUUCCAAGACGACAUUUUCAAAUCCAUCCUUACAAAAAAAUAUCGGGAAAUCGUUGGUAAUGUGCUUCGUUUCUAGUUAAUUUUUGUUUGAUUUUAUAUUGUUUGGUUUGCCCAUUUAUUUUAUUGUAAUGGUCCUGUUUGGUUGUGAAUUUAGAUAUAAAUGUAGGGAAUAACUAUGAAAAGACAAAGAAAAUUUGUGUAUAACCCCCUGUGAAUUGAAAGUGAGAAUGGAUAGAAGUGGUGCUUUUAGUGUACACAAGAAGCACCCAAUUAAUAUUGAUUUCUACGCUUUCAUUUAAUUGCUUUGAGAUAAGAGCUUAUCAUCAAAGCAAGAGAUCAAAUAGGCAAAUACUAAUACUUCUGCAAAAACAGAAUUUUGAUCUCUCCACAAAAAGUACAAGUCAACAGACCUCAGAUAAACAAAUGCCAUAAUCCCCUUAACUCCAAAUGUAGAGAGGAGCUUUUCAAAAGAUGGUGAGUAAUACCUGAUUGCCUGUAAAUGUCUAAUUUGCAAGGUGCUUGCGGAAAUGAAAAGAUCAUGAUUUAAACAAAUCCCUUUAAGGUUUCGUUCUGAAAAUCAUAGGUUUUAGAAAAAAAAACUAAUUGACAUGUAAGGCUAUUGAUCAAGUAUAUAGUAGAAACAACUCCCUGUGGCAACAAAUUUAUGAUGAAAGUUAUUCAAGUAUUACAAAGGUUUUCUGCAGCUACUGGAGGGGGGAAUUAUUACAUACUUUAAUGUUCCACAUUCAAAUAUCCUGGUCUAAUUCAAAAUGCAACAGAUGUUUAAAAUGAGAUAGAAGGUAGAGGACGUUAGUCUUUGAGGUGCCUAGAAACUCGGUGUUGUUAUGUGAACCUCUUGCUUGACUUGUGAUGCUUCAGAAAUAAAUAUGCAUUUUGGCACUAGAACUUUUUCAAAAGAUGGAUGAAUUCAUUAUGCUACGUAUGGACUCUAUUCCAUGUCUAUCAUUAUGCCUAUCAUCGUAUAUAUAUAUAUAUAACUAGGCUUCAUGGCAUUGUCCUACAAACCACCAACCAACAAUUUCUAUGAUCAUUGAUAUUUUUACCUGUAUAAUUAAUAGGAGAAUCCUACCUAAUACCACAUGCUAGAUGUUCUGGCAAAGAGUAAACCAAACACAAGCAAUUUCCAGACAAAGCUAAUCGGCAAAAAUUACUUUGAAGUGCAAUACAGAACAAAAUUCUUCUCUCUUAUGAGCUCAAAAUUCUUAAAAUUUGCUAGCUUAGUAAUCGAAAUUAAAUCAUAAAAUCCUGGGCUACACUUUGUGAAGGCAGAACGGCUGCAAUUCAAAAACCUUAUAGUUGAUUAGAAAAUAAAAGAAAUGAGAGGGGGUUUGAAGCUCAUAUAUAGGACUUUGUCUAUAUGAGAAAGGUGGUUGAAUGAACUACUCCCUUGGCUCUCUCUCUAAGAAAUCAGAAUCAUCCUGUUACUUAUCUUCUUGUUUCCUAAAUUUACCAUUUCUAAAAUACCCAAACUCUCCUAAUGUGUCUUAACAUCAUCUCACCAUAGUAGGUUAAGAGUUUCAAGUGAUAUACCAGUAUUUGAAGUUGUUAUGUCGCAACACUCCCAAAACCUACUGUUUUCAUAUCUAUAAUUAUCAACCCCUUUCAAUGCUACUAUAACAAAAGUCCUGAAAUCCCUAAUUUUACAGAGCAAAUCCUUAAUAUUGUGAAACACAUACUUUAAUCAAUGAGUUGAACAAAUAGAUUACGAAUUCAGAAAAGAAAAAACCCUAAAUUUAGGGUUAAACAAAUACUUUAAUCUGCUACUUGCUUACCCACUGAGACUUGUGAGGUGUUCAAAGUUUGUCUGUUUAGGGGUAUUUGGAGUAUAAACAGAUUCACAGAAACCACCUUCUUCUUCUUCUUCUUUCUUAUUCUCUGUUACCACUUUCCAAUUUCACGAAACAUUUGAUUUGAAGUAAUAAAAUUAUCUUAAGGUGAUUUUGUCAAUACACCCCCUUUUUUUUUUUUUUUCCACGUUUGGCCAAUACACCUGUAAGAGCAUUCCCAAUGGUAAAAGAGUUUUAGGGGUGCCACAUAAGAGAGAGAGGGAAUGUUUUAGCAUAAAAUUAAUGUUGAAAGUGAUUAGUGGUUUUAGAGUUUCCAAUGGUUGGUUUUAAAAUAAGUAUUAAAACUUAAUAUUUUGUUUUUCCCAAAAAAACUUAAUAUUUUAUUUUAUAAAAUCAACGCUCAUCAUUAGAUCUGAAUUUUUUUUGCAGAUUGACGGUUUAGAUUUAGUUAGGGGUAAUUUCAUUAUUUCAACUUUUUAGGGGUAGUUAAGUCACUUCAGGGAUUUGACAGGUCAACAUUGGUUGACUGUUUUAACUGGGUCAAUCUGUUAAAUGGGGGGAACCUAAUUUUCAGACUUACAGGGUGUAUUGGCCAAACGUGAAAAAAAAAAAAAAAAAAAAGGGGGUGUAUUGACAAAAUCACCUUAAGAUAAUUUUAUUACUUCAAAUCAAAUGUUUCGUGAAAUUGGAAAGUGGUAACAGAGAAUAAGAAAGAAGAAGAAGAAGAAGAAGAAGGUGGUUUCUGUGAAUCUGUUUAUACUCCAAAUACCCCUAAACAGACAAACUUUGAACACCUCACAAGUCUCAGUGGGUAAGCAAGUAGCAGAUUAAAGUAUUUGUUUAACCCUAAAUUUAGGGUUUUUUCUUUUCUGAAUUCGUAAUCUAUUUGUUCAAUUCAUUGAUUAAAGUAUGUGUUUUCACAAUAUUAAGGAUUUGCUCUGUAAAAUUAGGGAUUUCAGGACUUUUGUUAUAGUAGCAUUGAAAGGGGUUGAUAAUUAUAGAUAUGAAAACAGUAGGUUUUGGGAGUGUUGCGACAUAACAACUUCAAAUACUGGUAUAUCACUUGAAACUCUUAACCUACUAUGGUGAGAUGAUGUUAAGACACAUUAGGAGAGUUUGGGUAUUUUAGAAAUGGUAAAUUUAGGAAACAAGAAGAUAAGUAACAGGAUGAUUCUGAUUUCUUAGAGAGAGAGCCAAGGGAGUAGUUCAUUCAACCACCUUUCUCAUAUAGACAAAGUCCUAUAUAUGAGCUUCAAGCCCCCUCUCAUUUCUUUUAUUUUCUAAUCAACUAUAAGGUUUUUGAAUUGCAGCCGUUCUGCCUUCACAAAGUGUAGCCCAGGAUUUUAUGAUUUAAUUUCGAUUACUAAGCUAGCAAAUUUUAAGAAUUUUGAGCUCAUAAGAGAGAAGAAUUUUGUUCUGUAUUGCACUUCAAAGUAAUUUUUGCUGAUUAGCUUUGUCUGGAAAUUGCUUGUGUUUGGUUUACCCUUUGCCAGAACAUCUAGCAUGUGGUAUUAGGUAGGAUUCUCCUAUUAAUUAUACAGGUAAAAAUAUCAAUGAUCAUAGAAAUUGUUGGUUGGUGGUUUGUAGGUCAAAGAAUUCCGUUGACUUAGGUG
This 4971-nucleotide long non-coding RNA is filed under the name Aquilegia coerulea. Its description in RNAcentral is "long non-coding RNA (ACOE_LNC001750)". Lineage: Eukaryota; Viridiplantae; Streptophyta; Magnoliopsida; Ranunculales; Ranunculaceae. The record is from RNAcentral.